CCUGCAGGCGGUCUCGUAAGUGGGAUGUGAAAUCUCCUGGCUUAACUGGGAGGGGUCAUUCCAUACUGCGAGGCUCGAGGGCAGAAGAGGGAAGCGGAAUUCCCGGUGUAGUGGUGAAAUGCGUAGAUAUCGGGAGGAACACCAGUGGCGAAGGCGGCUUCCUGGCCUGCUCCUGACGCUAAGAGGCGAAAGCUAGGGGAGCGAACGGGAUUAGAAACCCCGGUAGUCCUAGCCAUAAACGAUGGAUACUGGGUGUCAGUGGUCCUAACCCCAUCGGUGCCGAAGCUAACGCGUUAAGUAUCCCGCCUGGGGACUACGGCCGCAAGGUUAA
This 331-nucleotide ribosomal RNA is filed under the name uncultured bacterium. Its description in RNAcentral is "bacterial SSU rRNA". It matches the Rfam family "Bacterial small subunit ribosomal RNA", at positions 568 to 897 of the family's 1533-position model. The record is from RNAcentral.